CCACUAAUACAAGACUAAGAUUUGUUUGAAUUACACACAAAAGAUAGCUGACAUAUCAGCUAUUACAUAAACUUAAAUCAUAAACUAAUCCUACUAAAUUUGUGAACAAAUUACAAAUGAACUAGCCAAAGUUACAUAGGAACAAAAUGAUCAAAACAUAUUGUUGUAUUCGGUUCAGCUAUAUUUUUGCACUUCAAACAGUCUUGCUACUGGUGUUGUGCUGAACUACUGCUGGUCUCCUGUUGCAAUGCAGGCCAAAGCUUAACAAUCUACCUUGUUCUAAGUUAUUCGGACUCUUCAUUUUCAUUAGAAUACAUGCAUCCAACACAUAUUCAAACAUGAGUACAAAAUUGCAUGAUUCUCUAAAUAUAUGAAAAAACAUAGAAAAUGUAUUCAACAUUCAAGCACUAUUCCGAGUAACAUAGACUAUAAUAAUGAAUAGUCUUAUAUCCCUUUAUUGCAAUCUUUUAGCCAAAGAGUUAAAGCUUCGUUCUUUUCUCAAGUAGGACUUAGUCUUUAUAUAUAAUAAUGAAUAGUCAAAAUAUGCAGAAAACACUUAACAAACAUGCCAUCAAAUAAGUGAACUAAAAACAGGUUCAUCUGCAAGGUCAUCCAUAUAUAGCAGCACAUACCAGAAAUUUAGUGAGCUGUCAAGCUGAAUAUUGUCUUCACCUCCAUAGAACUAUUUGAUUGCAGCACGGCUAGUCAACAACAAGGAUAAAAUGCAACUAGUUGGGUUCUGAUGAGGACUAGUUGCAACCUGUAGGACACACUUAAAGUGCUCUUCACAAGGGUUUGUCUUAGAAGAUCCAUACCUUAUUAAAAUCAACAUGCUUGGUGAAGGUCACCCAUGUUACAUGUUUCCUGUCAUUUUCUGAUAGAUUAUAUGUCUCUAAACUAGGCACUGACAUAAAUGGUGAAGUGGUACAAUUCUCCUAUUGUAAAGAAGAAUUUUACUGUCCCAGAUUUUUCAUUCGACCAGUCCUUGGUCGGUUUCUAUUGCCAUAAGGGAUAGGCAAACUAAUUUUUCAAAGCCCCUCCCGUGGAAUUCUUGAUAAUGAGUUACAAGACAGCACCAUGUGAUCCUCCCCUAAUGAAGCCAUAUAUUUCUUAUUAGUUAUCAGACCCCAGAAAUUUCCCUUUCACCGCUCAUUGAACAUCCCCACUCAACACAGGAACAUGAUUUUUCUGUCUACCCCUUUCAUCUAUAUAUACAAAGAAGAAUAUGUUCAUUGGCAACACCUAUCUUCACAUUCUCAAAAUACUACAGUUCUCUGAGAUCUUCCUCUUCUUCCUUUUUAGAAGCAUUCAUCUAUCAAAAACAACAAUGGCUAUCCGCCUGCCUCGUAUCAUUAGCUCUAAGAAAGUUCCCAAGGGCUGCUUUGCAGUUUACGUUGGAGAAAACCAGAAGAAGUUCGUGAUACCAGUGGUCAUUCUUGAACCAGCCUUUAUUUCAAGAUUUGCUUUGCAUGUCAGAACAAGAGUUCGGAUAUAGUCAUCCUACCGGCGGUAUCACAAUUCCCUGCAACGAAGAUAUCUUUCUCGUUGUCACCUCUCGAUUGAACUGAUUUGUGAGAGAUUUAACACAAAUCAACCCAUACAUUUUUGUAAAGCAAACAUCACUAACAUCAUGUAAACACUUUCUUUUCCCAUCCUUUUUUCCCUUGGGGAGCAGAUAAUAAGUCUCCCGAUGUGGAAAACUAGAGAUGGUGGCUUAUGUAACAAUUGGAAACACAUAAUUCAAUUGAAAUUUUAUUUCUUUUUAGAAUGUCCUAUGGUCCCCUUGUUAUUGUUGAUUUUAUAUACAAUUUAACUGUAAAAAAUUCACAUUGUUCACAAAUUAUUUCAACUUCCA
RNAcentral lists this long non-coding RNA (1855 nucleotides) under Gossypium barbadense (sea-island cotton). Its description in RNAcentral is "long non-coding RNA (GBAR_LNC014590)". The record is from RNAcentral. Lineage: Eukaryota; Viridiplantae; Streptophyta; Magnoliopsida; Malvales; Malvaceae.